CCUACGGGGAGCAGCAGUGAGGAAUAUUGGUCAAUGGGCGCGAGCCUGAACCAGCCAAGUAGCGUGAAGGAUGACUGCCCUACGGGUUGUAAACUUCGUUUAUAAAGGAAUAAAGUGAGGCACGUGUGCCGUUUUGUAUGUACUUUAUGAAUAAGGAUCGGCGAACUCCGUGCCAGCAGCCGCGGUAAGACGGAGGAUCCGAGCGUUAUCCGGAUUUUAUGGGUUUAAAGGGAGCGUAGAUGGGUUGUUAAGUCAGUUGUGAAAGUUUGCGGCUCAACCGUAAAAUUGCAAUUGAUACUGGCAGUCUUGAGUACAGUUGAGGUAGGCGGAAUUCGUGGUGUAGCGGUGAAAUGCUUAGAUAUCACGAAGAACUCCGAUUGCGAAGGCAGCUUACUAAACUGCCACUGACAUUGAUGCUCGAAAGUGUGGGUAUCAAACAGGAUUAGAUACCCGGGUAGUC
Molecule: ribosomal RNA, 460 nt
Filed under: uncultured bacterium
Lineage: Bacteria
Description: partial 16S ribosomal RNA
Rfam family: Bacterial small subunit ribosomal RNA
Source: RNAcentral